UACGAAGGGGGCUAGCGUUGCUCGGAAUGACUGGGCGUAAAGAGCUCGUAGGCGGUCUGUCGCGUCGGCUGUGAAAACCCGGGGCUCAACCCCGGGCCUGCAGUCGAUACGGGCAGACUAGAGUGCGGUAGGGGAGACUGGAAUUCCUGGUGUAGCGGUGAAAUGCGCAGAUAUCAGGAGGAACACCGAUGGCGAAGGCAGGUCUCUGGGCCACUACUGACGCUGAGAAGCGAAAGCAUGGGGAGCGAACAGG
This 253-nucleotide ribosomal RNA is filed under the name uncultured bacterium. RNAcentral's name for it is "partial 16S ribosomal RNA". It matches the Rfam family "Bacterial small subunit ribosomal RNA", at positions 524 to 776 of the family's 1533-position model. The record is from RNAcentral.